CCUACGGGAGGCAGCAGUGAGGAAUAUUGGUCAAUGGGCGCGAGCCUGAACCAGCCAAGUAGCGUGAAGGAUGACUGCCCUACGGGUUGUAAACUUCUUUUAUAAAGGAAUAAAGUGAGGCACGUGUGCCUUUUUGUAUGUACUUUAUGAAUAAGGAUCGGCUAACUCCGUGCCAGCAGCCGCGGUAAUACGGAGGAUCCGAGCGUUAUCCGGAUUUAUUGGGUUUAAAGGGAGCGUAGGCGGCCUUUUAAGUCAGCGGUGAAAGUCUGUGGCUCAACCAUAGAAUUGCCGUUGAAACUGGGGGGCUUGAGUAUGUUUGAGGCAGGCGGAAUGCGUGGUGUAGCGGUGAAAUGCUUAGAUAUCACGCAGAACCCCGAUUGCGAAGGCAGCCUGCCAAGCCAUGACUGACGCUGAUGCACGAAAGCGUGGGGAUCAAACAGGAUUAGAUACCCUUGUAGUC
Molecule: ribosomal RNA, 460 nt
Filed under: uncultured bacterium
Lineage: Bacteria
Description: partial 16S ribosomal RNA
Rfam family: Bacterial small subunit ribosomal RNA
Source: RNAcentral